Molecule: RNA transcript, 832 nt
Organism: Arabidopsis thaliana (thale cress)
Lineage: Eukaryota; Viridiplantae; Streptophyta; Magnoliopsida; Brassicales; Brassicaceae
Exons: 1
Source: RefSeq
CUAAUUUUGUGUAUAAUAAACAUGAGAUCUUUGGACAAGUAACUUCUUAAGACAUAAAUACACUAUUUUGCAUAAACAAGAAACUUGGCUUCCGUUUUCUUCUCAUGAAAAGCUUAUUUGCUUGCACAGCUCAGCUCAGAAGUCAGAAUCAGAACUCGUAAGAUACAUCCCUCUCGAAGAGCCUACCAUCUUUAUCGCGUUACAACAAAAUUACCAAAAUCUGCCACUUCCAAGAAACUUCUGAGAUCCUCUUCUGGAAACGUGUUUUUUCCUCAAAAGUAACAACAAAAUAAGAAAGACACGAAAGAGCCUCAUUAUUUAUUUAAACAUAUUAAGAAUAUUCCUAUUGAAGACAAAGGCAUACAAAGGCACCAACCAUGCCCCCUUACCGCGUAAAUCUAUAAAAAAAACAUACAAAAUCAAAUAUAAACAACUAAUAAGAAUAUUAUUUUGGACUCGACGAUUAAAUGUUUUUAAUUAUUGUAUUGUGUUGGGUUUUUUUUUUUUUUUUUUUUCUUUUUUAACUUUUACGCCAGAAAUUCUACAAUCCCUUGGAAGUUAUUUUUACUUAUAACUUCUUAGUCCAAAACAUGAUAAACGAAAUUAACGUUCUCUCCAACGGCUAAUUAAAUAACCAUUAAAAGUUUGAAUUAACUACUUCAAAUUUUAAAUGUGUAGUUGGAAAAAAUAAUCUGAAAAUGGAUUGGUAAGUUCCUAAAUAAUCGACCAAUUCUCUUCUUACUAAAACAAUAAGCUAGAACAAUUUUUUAUAGACCAAUUCUUUUUUUAUUUUAAUGAAUCUCAAUAUAGUCAAUACUCAUACAUAAAAAAC